This 680-nucleotide ribosomal RNA is filed under the name uncultured bacterium. RNAcentral describes it as "bacterial SSU rRNA". It matches the Rfam family "Bacterial small subunit ribosomal RNA", at positions 72 to 748 of the family's 1533-position model. The record is from RNAcentral.
GAGAGAGCUUGCUCUUCGAUUCAGCGGCGGACGGGUGAGUAAUGCCUAGGAAUCUGCCUGGUAGUGGGGGACAACGUUUCGAAAGGAACGCUAAUACCGCAUACGUCCUACGGGAGAAAGCAGGGGACCUUCGGGCCUUGCGCUAUCAGAUGAGCCUAGGUCGGAUUAGCUAGUUGGUGGGGUAAUGGCUCACCAAGGCGACGAUCCGUAACUGGUCUGAGAGGAUGAUCAGUCACACUGGAACUGAGACACGGUCCAGACUCCUACGGGAGGCAGCAGUGGGGAAUAUUGGACAAUGGGCGAAAGCCUGAUCCAGCCAUGCCGCGUGUGUGAAGAAGGUCUUCGGAUUGUAAAGCACUUUAAGUUGGGAGGAAGGGCAUUAACCUAAUACGUUAGUGUUUUGACGUUACCGACAGAAUAAGCACCGGCUAACUCUGUGCCAGCAGCCGCGGUAAUACAGAGGGUGCAAGCGUUAAUCGGAAUUACUGGGCGUAAAGCGCGCGUAGGUGGUUUGUUAAGUUGGAUGUGAAAGCCCCGGGCUCAACCUGGGAACUGCAUCCAAAACUGGCAAGCUAGAGUACGGUAGAGGGUGGUGGAAUUUCCUGUGUAGCGGUGAAAUGCGUAGAUAUAGGAAGGAACACCAGUGGCGAAGGCGACCACCUGGACUGAUACUGACACUG